GACGAACGCUGGCGGCGUGCUUAACACAUGCAAGUCGAGCGAUGAAGCUCCUUCGGGAGUGGAUUAGCGGCGGACGGGUGAGUAACACGUGGGUAACCUGCCUCAUAGAGGGGAAUAGCCUUUCGAAAGGAAGAUUAAUACCGCAUAAGAUUGUAGUACCGCAUGGUACAGCAAUUAAAGGAGUAAUCCGCUAUGAGAUGGACCCGCGUCGCAUUAGCUAGUUGGUGAGGUAACGGCUCACCAAGGCGACGAUGCGUAGCCGACCUGAGAGGGUGAUCGGCCACAUUGGGACUGAGACACGGCCCAGACUCCUACGGGAGGCAGCAGUGGGGAAUAUUGCACAAUGGGGGAAACCCUGAUGCAGCAACGCCGCGUGAGUGAUGACGGCCUUCGGGUUGUAAAACUCUGUCUUUGGGGACGAUAAUGACGGUACCCAAGGAGGAAGCCACGGCUAACUACGUGCCAGCAGCCGCGGUAAUAC
RNAcentral lists this ribosomal RNA (481 nucleotides) under Clostridium butyricum. RNAcentral describes it as "bacterial SSU rRNA". It matches the Rfam family "Bacterial small subunit ribosomal RNA", at positions 28 to 526 of the family's 1533-position model. Lineage: Bacteria; Bacillati; Bacillota; Clostridia; Eubacteriales; Clostridiaceae. The record is from RNAcentral.